GCAACAAAUUUGCAAGUCGUAGGGUGACAAACCUGAAGGCGCAAUGAAAGUGAAAAAAUCCACCCAGUAAAAUGGGACAGUAUUGCCCGGUCUUGCGGCUACCGCCAAAGGAUCUGAGGUAGAGCAAAUUUGCUGCGACCCGAAAGAUGGUGAACUAUGCCUGCAUAGGGCGAAGCCAGAGGAAACUCUGGUGGAGGCUCGUAGCGAUUCUGACGUGCAAAUCGAUCGUCAAAUGUGGGUAUAGGGGCGAAAGACUAAUCGAACCAUCUAGUAGCUGG
This 278-nucleotide non-coding RNA is filed under the name Allomyces macrogynus ATCC 38327. RNAcentral describes it as "Eukaryotic large subunit ribosomal RNA". It matches the Rfam family "Eukaryotic large subunit ribosomal RNA", at positions 675 to 954 of the family's 3401-position model. The record is from Rfam by way of RNAcentral. Lineage: Eukaryota; Fungi; Blastocladiomycota; Blastocladiomycetes; Blastocladiales; Blastocladiaceae.